UGGGAAUUCUAGUGGCGAACGGGUGAGUAACGCGUUGGUGACCUGCCCCAAAGUGUGGGAUAACAGUCCGAAAGGAUUGCUAAUACCGCAUGUGGUCAUUGGAUUUAGAAACCGAUGACUAAAGGAGUAAUCCGCUUUGGGAGGGACCUGCGUCCCAUCAGCUAGUUGGUGAGGUAAUGGCUCACCAAGGCUACGACGGGUAGGGGACCUGAGAGGGUGGCCCCCCACAAUGGAACUGAAACACGGUCCAU
This 251-nucleotide ribosomal RNA is filed under the name uncultured bacterium. RNAcentral's name for it is "partial 16S ribosomal RNA". It matches the Rfam family "Bacterial small subunit ribosomal RNA", at positions 84 to 334 of the family's 1533-position model. The record is from RNAcentral.